CAGUCGCCGCGGGAAUACGUAGGGUGCGAGCGUUAAUCGGAAUUACUGGGCGUAAAGCGUGCGCAGGCGGUUGUGUAAGACAGGUGUGAAAUCCCCGGGCUUAACCUGGGAACUGCGCUUGUGACUGCACAGCUAGAGUAUGGCAGAGGAGGGUGGAAUUCCACGUGUAGCAGUGAAAUGCGUAGAGAUGUGGAGGAACACCGAUGGCGAAGGCAGCCCCCUGGGCCAAUACUGACGCUCAUGCACGAAAGCGUGGGGAGCAAACAGGAUUAGAUACCCCCGUAGUCCCUGUCUCUUAUAC
This 301-nucleotide ribosomal RNA is filed under the name uncultured bacterium. RNAcentral's name for it is "partial 16S ribosomal RNA". It matches the Rfam family "Bacterial small subunit ribosomal RNA", at positions 509 to 807 of the family's 1533-position model. The record is from RNAcentral.